UUUAACCAUUCGCACGGGUAUGAGAAGUAGAGUGUAAACACUCAAAAAGACAAGCUAACUUGAAUUUGGAAAUCCUCUAGGUUUUCCCAAGUUUCUGAAUUGCUUCAAGGCAGGGGGCAGGGCGUGGAGACACAGUUCCUUUUGCAAAGCUGAGAGGAGAGUGUAAUGGCCUCAUGCCCUUAGACAGAAAGUCAAGGCCGGAGAGCAGCUUGACCUAGCCCCUUCCCCUCUGGCCAGUCCACAGUAGAUGCAAAACACGAUUGCUUGGCCUCAAUUAUCAAUAGAAUUUAAGGGAAAAAUCAAAGUUACACAUCCCUCUCCACAUCAGUUUCUUGGAAUCUGCUACUCACGACUGCCCCUCCUCUCCCCACACAUCCCUACCAAAGUCACAGGAGUCAUCCUCAAAUGUCAGGGUCCUGGGGUGAAUGUACUCCAUGCCUCUCUGAGUUUGUCUCCACUCACUCUUCAUCUUCCGACUGUUUCUUUUCUGCACUAGAGAUGAUCCCUGCCCUCAGCUCCCUUCAUGGAGGCAGUUCAGAUACUUGGCCCUACUUGUGAUGAGCACACACACGGAAUUCUCAACUGACAGUGGCAUCCUCAGAAGAGCCGGUGCCCACUAUUUUGUUUUAUUUUGCUGAAAGAAGUUGCUCUGACUACACGUCAUAAACCCAUAGAUGUAAAUACUUUCCCUCUCAACAUACAAAUUUUGCCUUAUUUUUUUUUUUUCCCCCCUCCACAGGGGUGUUUGUGAUAGGAAAGGAAAGAGAGGGCUUAGACUUCAGGUCAAAUGUUACAUUUUCUUAGGAGCAUUUUUAUACUCAUUAUGUGUUUUAAUAGGGCAAUAAAUCUGCUUUGGGUUGCAGGAUCACUCAGUGUGCUGUUAGAAAGCAUUGACCAAUUAUUUGUUUUUAAUACCAAUGCUGUGCGAUGAGUUAUGGAAACCUAGGACAAUGGUUGAGCAGUGAAGCGCUGAGCGGCGUUGUAUUCACAAGGUCACACCCGUUUCCAUGUUAGUCUCGAUUUGUUGUGGUAUGUUCUGCAUUUAUUACAUAAUCAUUGUGGGCUCAUUUUAGAUUUGCUAUCUGAACCAAGUGACAAGUAUUUUUCAAUACAAUAAAGUUGAAAACCUUGUCUUCCACUUGCUUUGGUAGUUGUCUUCAUAUCUCCCUGUGCUUAUUGUCCUGUCUGAAUCAGCCUAUCUGUCACUCACUUAGACCUAUCCCUUCCCCCUUUUUCUAUUUUCACUACACUUUUGACCUUAGCUAUUGUUUGAGUGUGACUCAGUUUCCCUGUUCAAGUUAGCUUGAUGGUUUAUUACGUAAGGAGGGUGCCUAAGACAAUCAUCAGGUAAAAAUAAAAUAAAAUAAAAAAGAUCAGUAGAGUAGAAAAUCUUCCACGAGCAGAGGGAGUUCUUCCUUAACAAUGAAAAAAAA
Molecule: long non-coding RNA, 1433 nt
Organism: Cercocebus atys (sooty mangabey)
Lineage: Eukaryota; Metazoa; Chordata; Mammalia; Primates; Cercopithecidae
Exons: 2
Source: RefSeq, a predicted model, not a curated record